UACAGAGGUCCCAAGCGUUGUUCGGAUUCACUGGGCGUAAAGGGUGCGUAGGUGGUGAGGUAAGUCGGAUGUGAAAUCUCCGAGCUCAACUCGGAAAUGGCAUUGGAAACUGCCUUGCUAGAGGAUUGGAGGGGAGACUGGAAUGCUUGGUGUAGCAGUGAAAUGCGUAGAUAUCAAGCGGAACACCAGUGGCGAAGGCGAGUCUCUGGACAAUUCCUGACACUGAGGCACGAAAGCUAGGGGAGCAAACAGG
Molecule: ribosomal RNA, 253 nt
Filed under: uncultured bacterium
Lineage: Bacteria
Description: partial 16S ribosomal RNA
Rfam family: Bacterial small subunit ribosomal RNA
Source: RNAcentral